CUACGGGUGGCAGCAGUGAGGAAUAUUGCACAAUGGGGGGAACCCUGAUGCAGCAACGCCGCGUGGAGGAUGACGCAUUUCGGUGUGUAAACUCCUUUUAUAUGUCAAGAAAAUGACGGUAGCAUAUGAAUAAGCACCGGCUAACUCCGUGCCAGCAGCUGCGGUAAUACGGAGGGUGCAAGCGUUACUCGGAAUCACUGGGCGUAAAGGACGCGUAGGCGGGUUGGAAAGUCAGGUGUGAAAUCCUACAGCUUAACUGUAGAACUGCACUUGAAACUUCUAAUCUAGAGUAUGGGAGGGGGAGAUGGAAUUAGUAGUGUAGGGGUAAUAUCCGUAGAUAUCACUAGGAAUACCUAAAGCGAAGGCGAUCUCCUGGAACAUUACUGACGCUAAGGCGUGAAAGCGUGGGGAGCAAACAGGAUUAGAUACCCCUGUAGUC
RNAcentral lists this ribosomal RNA (439 nucleotides) under uncultured bacterium. Its description in RNAcentral is "partial 16S ribosomal RNA". It matches the Rfam family "Bacterial small subunit ribosomal RNA", at positions 339 to 795 of the family's 1533-position model. The record is from RNAcentral.